ACGAGGGAGGAGAGGACAGUCGCCCAAGAAACAAAGACAAAUCUUCCAGCUGUUUAGUUAGUCUUGACGGCAGAAGAAAUAAUUCAUGAAGGCAGUGGUAGAAGUGAGCCUGGUCUAAGAGGGGUAAAAAGUGAGUGAUCUUGACUUACCUGUGAGUAACAUGGAGGAGAAAGGCAAAAAAUUUACUGCACUUUCUUCGGAGCUCAACACAGCGUUUGUGCACAUCAUCUAACGACAGAAUCACCCAGAGAGGACAUGUUUAGUGUGCUAUAACAAUCAAUUAAUUAAAUCAUAGCUAGCAGAGGGGGUUAUUAUGCUGGGGGUAAAGUCUGCAUUUGUAUCUUGUGGUCCAUCAGGCUGGCACUCAUCUCCAGUUUCUGUUGCAAGAAGUGACCAAAGAGUAUUUCUACUCUUCCCUGGCUGGGAUGUUAGCUCAUCACAGUGUCACCACCAGAAUUAAGUUUGCCGCUAAACCAUUUAAAAACUGGGUGGAGGCUAUGGCUACAUCAAAUUACGCUUCAAUAAUAUUGAAAUGAUCUUCAAAAGCAUAAAAAUUCUCAUUCAAGCAUAUUUUACAAAGCAUUGCUACAGACAUUCAAAUUCAAAAUUAAGUUCCAACUUUCACUGAACCAACUAAAACUUUUCCCAUCCUAAUUAAUUACAGAGGACAAGCUGUAAAGAAGUGAUUUAAGAAGUUUAACACCCAGAAUUAAUACUAAUGCUUCUCUCUAAUGCUUCCAUUUCUUUAUUUUUCUCCUCUAAUAGUUUCUUUUCAAACUGUUUCAAACUUUACCAGUCAAAGACGUAAUGCUUCCAUCGUUUUCCAGCUUAAAAACUUGCUGCCUAAAAGUACAAGAAUGAAUAGAUCAAUGAAAGAUCAAUGAUUGACUUUGGCUAUUAUCCCAAUACAAUCCCAAGCAAACUUGAUUUAUAUGAUAUGCAACUCAAUGAUAGAAUAACAGUAGAAACUUGGUUCUGUCUUUAUUGGACUACCAAAAAAAAUUAAGAUUGGUCAAUUUUGAA
Molecule: long non-coding RNA, 1023 nt
Organism: Orbicella faveolata
Lineage: Eukaryota; Metazoa; Cnidaria; Anthozoa; Scleractinia; Merulinidae
Source: RefSeq, a predicted model, not a curated record